CGCUUGCUCAUUUGCAAGGUGGUAGUCGUUGGUGGUACAAUUGUUGUAAAGUUUUUAAAUUUUUUUUGCGUUCUUAAAUAAUGGUGUUGUUUUUGACGACUUUGCUUCAGUUUCCACAAUCCCGAAGGGACAAUCUACCCGUACUGUUCUGGUUGGUGAUGAUGAUAGAAGUUUACAACGAUAUAUAGAAACAAGAAAACCGAAUAACACCUUACAUGGAACCUCUGGGAUACAAAAUCUACAAGAAAAAAUUUUACUAUCGCUUAGGAUCUUGCGCUUGAAUCAGUGAGGGUUUUUUUGCUCUACUCGCCAACUACUCGCCAACAAAUAUUUUCUUGAUUAUUCUACAAUUUGUUUAAGAAAUAAAAGGAUCUGUAUCGAAGUUAUUGGAAGAAAGACAGUACUUUUACAACAAGUUAACAACAAGGACUUCCAAGAAUUGUGACUUGAUCACUAGAUUUGAUUCAAAACUUGUCUCAAAUAGAAUAACUUCAUUUCCCUACAUUUGGAACUUCCAGCUUGGUUAUUCGGGUAUUGACGAUAUUGUCAGUAAUGUUGUGAUCAAACCAGCAGAUCAGACCAGCAGAAUCAUUUUUCAUUACUGCUUAUGUUUGCAAGGAAACAGCUCAACUUCUUGGAAAUUACAACGAUCUUCGAGGGAUAACUUCAAAUUUAUCAAAUUUUAUAAUGAUGUAUUGAAAUUUCAAAAUUACCAAAUAUGUACCUAUCCAAUGAUGCUAUCUAUGUUUUUAAUGAGAUACUAUUAGUAUUUUGUCCAAAAAUAGCUAUUUGUAAAUUUGUUAUAAUUUUCUAUUCACAUUGAAAACAUAGUCACUUCUAAAAAGAAAUGUUAGUUUUAAGUAGACACGAAUGUGAAGCAGAUUUAUUGUUGUAAUAUGUUGUUUUACCACCACAGCAAUACAUCAGUAAAUCUGUUUAUAACCAGUUGUGCAGAAUUUUUAACAGUUUGAAAAAAAAAACAAAAGAAAGAAAAAACAAGACAAAAAAAGAAAAACCAAACAAAAAAAGAAAAAAAAACAAAAAAUAUUAACGAAAAAAUGACAAAAAGCAAUAAGAUAUAGCAUAAAUAAAAUAAAAACAAAAAAUAAAUAAUAAUUAUUAAAAAUAUAAAACAAAAAAUGUCGAAAUAAUCAAAUUAAGGGUGCUAGAGUUAAAAAAUAUGUAACACAGCAUUUACAAACAUUUUAUAAUUUUUUUCGUAGUUUUUUUUUGUUACGUUUUUUGAUUAGGUUUACUAAAAUUAAUUCAUAGUAAACUGGCGUUCUGUUUUCCAAAUUUCAAACAAUACGUUAAUUGUCUUCGAUAGGUAAUGUAAUAUCGAUCCUUGUACUUGUGAGCAUAACUUAAACGCUUUAUUGUCUGUAAAAAUAAUUGUUCCUGGUAUUAGUUUUAAUGGCUUACAUAUUGUCUAUGUUUUUAAUGAGUAAUCAAUUUUAUAUUAACUUUAUUUUGUUCAAAAGUUCGUUGCUGUUUGCACAAAUUUGCCCUUAUUUUCUGUUCACAUUGAGAACAUAUUCAAUUAAAAAUUUUAAAAAAUAGUUUUAGGACACGAAUGUGAAGCAGAUUUAUUGUUGUAAUUUCGGUUGUUUUACCCCCACAGCAAUAUAUCAGUAAAUCUGCUUUUACCUGUGUAAAAUUUUUAGUCGUUUGAAAAAAAAAGUCAAGAAAAAAAGUACAAAACAAAGAAGCACAAAAAUAACAAAAAAAACAGAAUAAAAAGAAUGAAACAAAAAUGCAGAAACGACUAUAAAAAAAUACAAAUAAUAGCUUUUACAGUUAAAAAUGUAAGGCAGCUUUUGCUAACACUUGAUAAUUUUUGCCGCACAUUUUUACUAAAUUGGAAAAUCAUUUAAGACAAAGCAUUUUUUCUUUGGUUUGUAAAAGCUGCUUUUGUCUCGCUACAGUUGGAGUAACGAUGCAAAUUGUUUAAACAAGUGGAAGGUGUAAUGAAAUUGGGAAAACAUUAUCGAUAUUGUUUUUGAUUUUGCAUUCAAUGUACAAAAUUCACAAUAAAUUGACAUAGUGUUUUCCAAAUUUCAAAUAAUAAAUCUGUCUGAUUUUCUUGUAUCAGUAAUAUAAUACUGAUUAUUGUGCCAAUGAGCAUAUUUUGUGAAUGCUUUAUUUUCUGUGAUUUUAAAAAUAAUUGCCCCCGGUCUUAAAAAAAAACGUCAAAUUGUCAAAUUUUUGGAAAUCGUAUUUGGUCUAAAAAUCGUUGACAAUAAGUAUAAGUAAGUGACUAAACUUUACAUUACAUUUUAUUGUAACUUUGUUUGUUGUAUGUACUAGUGUGUGGAUAAUUGUUAACGAAAUACGGAAACCUUUCAUUAAUUUUUCAAAAUUUUAACUCCACUAUUUACGUUUUUGUUAUUUUAUAAGUUGGAAACUGAUUACAAUCAUUUACAAUUUUCGUAUUUCAGUUCGAUGAUUUAUUAUUUUGGGAGAUAUUGUUGUAAAUUUAUAUCAAACAUAUUUAUUACAUUAUUAGUUUAGUUUUAGUAAAUAGAAACAUUGAGCUUCAAAAAAGACCGGGGAAUAUGAAUUGUCUGAUUUUUGGAAAUUUGGCUGGACUAAAAAUCAAAUGACAAAUUCAUAAGAAUAAGUUGUAUUAAAUAUUUUGUUAUACUAGAUUUGUAAGAUACAUAAUUUGUACUACAUGCAUAAAGAUCAACGAAAUAUAAAAAACAAUAAUAUUUUAAAUUUAAUAAGUUCAUUUGAGUUUUACUAAAAUAUUAUCAGAUUUUUGGAAAUUUUUGACGUUUUUUUCUUUUUCGUUGACAAAAAUCCUGUUUAGUUAUUGGAUCUAU
Tribolium castaneum (red flour beetle) is the source of this 2825-nucleotide long non-coding RNA. RefSeq lists it as uncharacterized. The record is from RefSeq and is a predicted model, not a curated record. The transcript has 5 exons. NCBI's taxonomy places the organism in Eukaryota, Metazoa, Arthropoda, Insecta, Coleoptera, Tenebrionidae.